ACUGGUAAGGCUAAAUAUUCUUGGAGACCGAUAGUGAACAAGUACCGUGAGGGAAAGGUGAAAAGAACCCCGGAGAGGGGAGUGAAAUAGAUCUGAAACCAUACACCUACAAGGAGUCGGAGCCUCAGCAAUGGGGUGACGGCGUGCCUAUUGAAGAAUGAGCCGGCGAGUGUACCUUUAUCCCUUGUCUAAGUGGCAAUCCCACGGAGGCACAGUGAAAGCGAGCGUUAAAAGCGCGAAUAUGGGGUAGGGGUACGACCCGAAGCGGGAUGAGCUUGCCAUGAGCAGGGUGAAGCGACUGUAAUAGGUCGUGGAGGCCCGAACCGGUUGGCCGUACAAAACCAUCGGAUGACUUGUGGUAAGGAGUGAAAAGCUUAUCGAAUUCCGUAAUAGCUGGUUCUCUCCGAAACAGCUUUUGGGUUGGCGUCGAGUGGUCCCUCUGGGGGUAGAGCACUGGAAAGAAAGAACAGGGAGAAAUCUCGUCUUUCUUAUCAAACUCCGAAUACCAGUAGGUUAUAGCUCGGCAGUUAGACUAUGGGGGCGAAGCUCCAUUGGUCGAAAGGGAAACAGCCCAGAUCGCCAGUUAAGGUCCCUAAAUAUAUGCUCAGUGCAACUUGAGGAGGUGAGGAUUCAUAAACAGUGAGGAGGUUGGCUUAGAAGCAGCCAUCCUUUAAAGAAAGCGUAACAGCUCACUCAUCGAGAGUCCUCGCGCCGAAAAUGAUCGGGGCUCAAGCAUAUUACCGAAACUGCGGAUUCGUACCUUUGGUACGAGUGGUAGGAGAGCGUUCGUAUUGCAAUGAAUCCAAGGCGGGAGCCGCGGUGGAGCGAUGCGAAGUGAGAAUGCCGGCACAAGUAACCGCAAGGCAGGUGAGAACCCUGCCCGCCGAAAUACCGAGGUUUCCUUCGCGAUGGUGAUCAGCGAAGGGUUAGUCGGUCCUAAGGGAAUCCCGAAUGGGGGACCCGAUGGAUAGCAGGUUAAUAUUCCUGCACACUGUUAUGUUCCUAUGGAGGGACGGAGCGUUGUACCCACAGCAUCUUAUUGGAUUGGUGCUGGAGCUAUGAGGGCGUCUGUUAGGCAAAUCCGGCAGAUAUAACCCAAGUAGGGUCUGAAUGUGAGGCUACGGCCGAGCAAAUGUGGGGAGCACGCUUCCGAGAAAAACUUCGUUUGGGUUAAACAUAAUGGUUCCGUACCGCAAACCGACACAGGUGGUAGAGUCGAGAAGACUAAGGCGAACGAGUGAGAGGUCCUCAAGGAACUCGGCAAAAAAGCGACCGUAACUUAGGGAUAAGGUCCGCCCAAUACACCACUUUGUCCUUAACUAGGAGAAAGUGAUGGAAAAUAUUAUCAAUACGGUGUUGAGUAGUCCAAUAACAGGGGUUAGGAUUAAGGCAACUGAUAAAGUUGUCUCGAUCACAGUAACCAGUACAACUGGUGAAAAAAUAAUCCAUGAAGUCACACCAAAAUUGUUGGUAUCUGCAGACGGUAGUCAAGUAUUGGUAACCGUUGAAUGUAGAAAAGUGAUUCCAUCUGAAGAGCUGGUGCUCUGAUGAAUGUUCUUUAGUCUCUCCUAGUUGAGGCUAAAGUGGUGUAUUGGGCCGCAGCGAAAGAUUUCCUGCCGACUGUUUAACAAAAACACAGCUCUCUGCUAACACGAAAGUGGAUGUAUAGAGGGUGACGCCUGACCUAUGCUGGAAGGUUAAAUACGGGGGGUCCAAUGAACUUCGGUUUGUUGGGCUGGACUGUAUAAGCCCCAGUAAAUGUCAGCGAUAACUAUAAUCGUUCUAAGGUUCAGCGCGCUUCUUCGGAAGUACGCUGAACGGACUAGAACGAUUAUAGGUUAGACAGCCUAGCCAUAGUUACCUUUCCUUUCUGAAAAGAAGGAGAAGUCCAAAUGCAACCAACAAGAGACCAAAUGUUGCACACCCGCAACGGAUCAUGCCGUGGGUGAAGAUAGAGUCCUAUUGUGAAAUGCGUACACAGCAAUGUGUGCGAGAAGGGAAUAUAGAGCGUAUUUCCUUGUCGGGUAAGUUCCGACGUGCACGAAUGGCGUAACGAGUGGGAAACUGUCUCGAGGACCUGCUCGGUGAAAAUACAAUGGCGGUAAAGAUGCCGCCUACCUGCAGAUAGACGAAAAGACCCCAGGAGCUUUACUGUAGCUUGAUAUUGGGGCUAUUGAAUUAAUGCGUAGCAUAGGAGGGAGACUUUGAAGCGGGCUUUUGGGUACCGUGGAGUCGCCAGUGAAAUACCUCUCUUUAUUUUGGUAGUCUCUAACCCCAUAGGUAAAACCUAUGGGAGACAGUGUCUGGCAGGCAGUUUUAGUGGGGCGCUACCCUCCCAAAGAAUAACGGAGGGGUCUCAAGGUUGGUUAGUCGCGAAUGGAAACCGUGACGAUAGUGUAAUGGCAUAAACCAGCUUGACUGUGAGUCGUAGAUGACGAACAGACGCGAAAGCGGAGCAUAGUGAACCGAUGGUUGGCUUUAGAUGCCGCCGGAGAUUACCCGAUAAAAGUUACCCUGGGGAUAACAGGCUAGUUGUGCCCAAGCGUCCAUAGCGACGGCACAGUUCGGCACCUCGAUGUCGGCUCAUCUUAUCCUGGGGCUGGAGCAGGUCCCAAGGGUUUGGCUGUUCGCCAAUUAAAAAGAUACGUGAGCUGGGUUUAGACCGUUCAGGCUGGGAAUGUUCCUUGCUUGAACCAAUCUAAACCCGAGGGGAGUAGUGGAGACUACUCAAAGAGACAUCAUCACGGCGGCGCAGAAUAGUAAUAUUCUGUGAGAAGUUGACUAUAUCGGUGAAACCCGACUGCGAAAGCAAGGGCAAUACCGAGGGAAGUAGGUAAUUGCGGAUUUCAUAGAGAUCAAUAUGAUCUUUAAAUUUCUGAGUGCGGAGAAAGCAACAAGGUCUACGUAUGAAAGUUGAAAGGGAUAGACACCUAGUAAACCAUGCGCUUGUUCACUUGCCGCACUCAGACCCACUACAUAAUUGUGGUGGUCUCUAUGAAAUCCAGAAUUAUUUGCACCCGUAGAGACUACAUGUCAACCUUCCAGAGAUGGAAGAAGAUAUAGUCCAAUCCUUCUGGUAACAGAAGACCGAGAUGCGUGAGACAGGUUGGUCUCCUAUCUACUGCAGGCGUCGAUUUUUGAGGAGAUUUGUCCCUAGUACGAGAGGACCGGGAUGAACGAACCUCUGGUCUAUCGGCUGUCACGCCAGUGGCACUGCCGAGUAGCUAUGUUCGGAAUGGAUAACCGCUGAAAGCAUCUAAGCGGGAAGCCAACUCCAAGAUUAGAAAUCAUUAAACCUCCUGAGAGAUGAUCAGGUUGAUAGGCACUAGGUGUAAGUACAGUAAUGUAUGUAGCCGAGGUGUACUAAUAGGGUGUAGCUUCCCAUA
RNAcentral lists this ribosomal RNA (3386 nucleotides) under Minisyncoccota bacterium. RNAcentral describes it as "partial 23S ribosomal RNA". It matches the Rfam family "Bacterial large subunit ribosomal RNA", at positions 456 to 2925 of the family's 2925-position model. Lineage: Bacteria; Bacillati; Minisyncoccota. The record is from RNAcentral.